This 253-nucleotide ribosomal RNA is filed under the name uncultured bacterium. RNAcentral describes it as "partial 16S ribosomal RNA". It matches the Rfam family "Bacterial small subunit ribosomal RNA", at positions 524 to 776 of the family's 1533-position model. The record is from RNAcentral.
GACGUAGGGGGCGAGCGUUGUCCGGAUUUAUUGGGCGUAAAGCGUGCGUAGGCGGCUGCGCAAGUCGGUUAUGAAACCCCGGGGCUCAACCCCGGAACUGCAUCCGAUACUGCGUGGCUAGAGGUAGGUAGGGGAGAUCGGAAUUCCUGGUGUAGCGGUGAAAUGCGCAGAUAUCAGGAGGAACACCGGUGGCGAAGGCGGAUCUCUGGGCCUUACCUGACGCUCAGGCACGAAAGCUAGGGGAGCGAACAGG